GGGCCCGUCGCCUAACCUGGAUAUGGCGGCAGAGGAAAGCUGUAAUAAUCUGGGUUCAAAUCCCAGCGGGCCCG
Molecule: transfer RNA, 74 nt
Filed under: Candidatus Bathyarchaeota archaeon
Lineage: Archaea; Thermoproteati; Candidatus Bathyarchaeota
Description: tRNA-Phe
Rfam family: tRNA
About the family: Transfer RNA (tRNA) molecules are approximately 80 nucleotides in length. Their secondary structure includes four short double-helical elements and three loops (D, anti-codon, and T loops).
Source: RNAcentral